RNA transcript from Homo sapiens (human), 3306 nucleotides. It is a transcript of the gene named solute carrier family 9 member 7 pseudogene 1, with no coding region annotated. The record is from RefSeq and is marked validated. The transcript has a single exon. Lineage: Eukaryota; Metazoa; Chordata; Mammalia; Primates; Hominidae.
AGAGGAGGCGUGGGCGGCUCCGGGACCACGGAGCCUGGUGACGCGGCGCUCCCCUGCCCGGGUCGGGUUGCCCAGGCGCCGCCGCGGCGGCUGCUGCUGCUGCUGCCGCUGCUGCUGGGUAGGGGACUUCGAGUAACGGCCGAGGCCUCGGCCUCCUCCUCUGGGGCGGCGGUCGAGAACAGCAGCGCCAUGGAGGAGCUCGUCACUGAGAAGGAGGCGGAAGAGAGCCACCGGCCAGACAGUGUGAGCCUGCUCACCUUCAUCCUGCUGCUCACGCUGGCCAUCCUCACCAUAUGGCUCUUCAAGUACUGCCGGGUGCACUUUCUGCAUGAGACCGGGCUGGCCAUGAUCUGUGGGCUCAUCGUUGGGGUGAUCCUGAGGUAUGGUACCCCUGGCACCAGGGGCCGUGACAAAUUACUCAAUUGCACUCAAGAAGAUCAGGCCUUCAGCACUUUAGUAGUGGAUGUCAGCGGUAAAUUCUUCGAAUACACCCUGAAAAGAGAAAUCAGCCCUGGCAAGAUCAACAGCGUAAAGCAGAAUGACAUGCUAGGGAAGGUAACAUUCGACCCAUAGGUAUUUUUCAACAUUCUUCUGCCUCCAGUUAUUUUCCAUGCUGGAUACAGCUUAAAGAGACACUUUUUUAGAAAUCUUGGGUCACUCCUUCUUGGGGACUGCUGUUUCGUGCUUCCGUAUUGGAAAUCUCAGGUAUGGUAUGGUGAAGCUCAUGAGGAUUAUGAGACAGCUCUCAGAUAAAUUUUACUACACACAUUGUCUCUUUUUUAGAGCAAUCAUCUCUGCCACUGACCCAGUGACUGUGCUGGUGAUAUCAAUGAAUUGCAUGCAGACAUGGAUCUUUAUGUACUUCUGUUUGGAGAGAGCAUCCUAAAUGACGUUGUUAUGUUGUACUUUCCUCAUCUAUUGUUGGCUACCAGCCAGCAGGACUGAACUUCAACUCACGCCUUUGAUGCUGCUGCCUUUUUAAAGUCAGUUGGCAUUUUUCUAGGUAUAUUUAGUGGCUGUUUUACCAUGGGAGCUGUGACUGGUGUUGUGACUGCUUUAGUGACCAAGUUUACCAAACUGGACUGCUUUCCCCUGCUGGAGACGGCGCUCUUCUUCCUCAUGUCCUGGAGCACGUUUCUCUUGGCAGAAGCUUGCGGAUUUACAGGCGUUGUAGCUGUCCUUUUCUGUGGAAUCACACAAGCUCAUUACACCUUCAACAAUCUGUCGGUGGAAUCAAGAAGUCGAAGCAAGCAGCUCUUUGAGGCAGAGAACUUCAUCUUCUCCUGCAUGAUCCUGGCGCUAUUUACCUUCCAGAAGCACGUUUUCAGCCCUGUUUUCAUCAUUGGAGCUUUUGUUGCUGUCUUCCUGGGCAGAGCCGCCCAUAUCUACCCGCUCUCUUUCUUCCUCAGCUUGGGCAGAAGGCAUAAGAUUGGCUGGAAUUUUCAACACACGAUGAUGUUUUCAGGCCUCAGGGGAGCAAUGGCAUUUGCGUUGGCCAUCUGUGACACGGCAUCCUAUGCUCGCCAGAUGACGUUCCCCACCACGCCUUUCAUCGUGUUCUUCACCAUCUGGAUCAUUGGAGGAGGCACGACACCCAUGUUGUCAUGGCUUAAUAUCAGAGUUAGCAUCAAGGAGCCCUCCAAAGAGGACCACAACGAACACCACCGACAGUACUUCAGAGUUGGUGUUGACCCUGAUCAAGAUCCACCACCCAACAAUGACAGCUUUCAAGUCUUACAAGGGGACAGCCCAGAUUCUGCCAGAGGAAACUGGACAAAACAGGAGAGCACAUGGAUAUUCAGGCGGUGGUACAGCUUUGAUCACAAUUACCUGAAGCCCAUCCUCACACACAGCGGCUCCCCGCUAACCACCACUCUCCCGCCUGGUGGAGACACAGCGGCUCCCCGCUAACCACCACUCUCCUGCCUGGUGUAGACAAAGCGGCUCCCCGCCAACCACCACUCUCCCGCCUGGUGUAGCUUGCUAGCUUGAUGUCUGACCAGUCCCCAGGUGUACGAUAACCAAGAGCCACUGAGAGAGGGAAACUCUGAUUUUAUUCUGACUGAAGGCGACCUCACAUUGACCUAUGGGGACAGCACAGUGACUGCAAAUGGCUUCUCAGGUUCCCACACUGCCUCCACGAGUCUGGAGGGCAGCUGGAGAAUGAAGAGCAGCUCAGAGGAAGUGCUGGAGCAGGACGUGGGAAUGGGAAACCAGAAGGUUUCGAGCCAGGGUACCCGCCUAGUGUUUCCUCUGGAAGAUAAUGUUUGACUUUCCCUGCAAACCCUGGCACGAUGGGGUAGGCUCCCAAUGGGGUGAGGAUGGCUUCAAGCCCUAAUGUUGCUUGAGGUGGGGCAGUGACUAGAUUGAAUUAACUCUUCUAUUUUAUUGGGGUCUGAAGUUAUUGUAACACUUAAAAUUUAACUCAUGAUGCAGAUGGUGAGGCAAAAGUGUCUCUAAAUUCAGACAAAUGUAGACCUAUUUCUACUUUUUUUCACACAGUAGUGCGCUGUUUCAGAGUUAAACAAACAAAAAAAUAGCAUACUUUAAUGGUCUCUUAAUUCAUUCACCUGCAGUGUCUGAACAAGGCAGGGCAGGUGCUGAGUGGGGGGCUUCCUCUUACAAGAGGUUGCAUCUCAGUACACAGUGGUGCAAGUCAAGCUGACCAUAGAAAUAUCAAGUUAGGGGAGAACAGGCUGGAAGAAAGAUUGAGAAGGAAGGCAAUUGAGAUAGGACCUCCAAGGAUUAUGGGAAACUGUUGUUAAAUGGAACAGAAAACAUGAAAAAAUAAUAUGAGUGGAGGCUCUGGCAAGGAAGGCUGUGUGACUGCAACCUCAUAUCAGGAUUCCUGACUUUUAUGCUACCUGUGUUUCUUCUAGACUGAAGAUUUGAAAAUAUAUCCAUGAACAUUUCAACAUGAAACAAAGAAUUAUAGUUCCUUCUCUGGAGAUGUCCAUAAAGAAGUAAUUAUGAUAUGUUUAAAACCAGACCGGGUGUGGGGGCUCACGCCUGUAAUCCCAGCACUUUGGGAGGCCGAGGCCGGCGCAUCAUCUGAGGUCAGGAGUUCAAGACCAGCCUGGCCAACAUGGUGAAACCCCGUCUCUACUAAAAAAUACAAAUAUUAGCCAGGCGUGGUGGCAAGCACCUUAAUCCCAGCUACUUGGGAGGCAGAGGCAGGAGAAUCGUUUGAACCCAGGAGGCUGAGGUUGCAGUGAGCCCAGAUAAAGCCACUGCACUCAAACGUGGGGAACAAGAGUGAGACUUCUCUCAAAAAAUAAAUAAAUAAAUAAAAUAAUAUAAAAUAAA